This 272-nucleotide ribosomal RNA is filed under the name uncultured bacterium. RNAcentral describes it as "partial 16S ribosomal RNA". It matches the Rfam family "Bacterial small subunit ribosomal RNA", at positions 524 to 794 of the family's 1533-position model. The record is from RNAcentral.
UACGAGGGGAGCUAGCGUUGUUCGGAAUUACUGGGCGUAAAGGGCGUGUAGGCGGUACCAUAAGUCAGAUGUGAAAGCCCUAGGUCUUAACCUAGGAGGUGCAUUUGAUACUGUGGAACUAGAGAUCGAGAGAGGAAAGUGGAAUUACGAGUGUAGAGGUGAAAUUCGUAGAUAUUCGUAAGAACACCAGUGGCGAAGGCGACUUUCUGGCUCGAUACUGACGCUAAGGCGCGAAAGCGUGGGGAGCAAACAGGAUUAGAAACCCCAGUAGU